AUUGAACGCUGGCGGCAGGCUUAACACAUGCAAGUCGAGCGGGGUGAUGUAGCUUGCUACAUUACCUAGCGGCGGACGGGUGAGUAAUGCUUAGGAAUCUGCCUAUUAGUGGGGGACAACAUUCCGAAAGGAAUGCUAAUACCGCAUACGCCCUACGGGGGAAAGCAGGGGAUCUUCGGACCUUGCGCUAAUAGAUGAGCCUAAGUCAGAUUAGCUAGUUGGUGGGGUAAAGGCCUACCAAGGCGACGAUCUGUAGCGGGUCUGAGAGGAUGAUCCGCCACACUGGGACUGAGACACGGCCCAGACUCCUACGGGAGGCAGCAGUGGGGAAUAUUGGACAAUGGGCGCAAGCCUGAUCCAGCCAUGCCGCGUGUGUGAAGAAGGCCUUUUGGUUGUAAAGCACUUUAAGCGAGGAGGAGGCUACUGAGAUUAAUACUCUUGGAUAGUGGACGUACUCGCAGAUAGC
Molecule: ribosomal RNA, 466 nt
Filed under: Acinetobacter sp. oral taxon D46
Lineage: Bacteria; Pseudomonadati; Pseudomonadota; Gammaproteobacteria; Moraxellales; Moraxellaceae
Description: bacterial SSU rRNA
Rfam family: Bacterial small subunit ribosomal RNA
Source: RNAcentral